GUCUGGCAGAUCAAAGAUGCUUUGGAAUCAUUGAGCACCAUUCCGCCCCCACCUGACUCUCAGCUCCUUUAUCUGUCUGGGCCCGGCGCUGGGCGGGGCUGGGUGGCUGGGCCAGGCGGCCG
Molecule: long non-coding RNA, 122 nt
Organism: Herpailurus yagouaroundi (jaguarundi)
Lineage: Eukaryota; Metazoa; Chordata; Mammalia; Carnivora; Felidae
Exons: 4
Source: RefSeq, a predicted model, not a curated record